UGGGGAAUAUUGGACAAUGGGCGAAAGCCUGAUCCAGCCAUGCCGCGUGUGUGAAGAAGGUCUUCGGAUUGUAAAGCACUUUAAGUUGGGAGGAAGGGCAGUUACCUAAUACGUAAUUGUUUUGACGUUACCGACAGAAUAAGCACCGGCUAACUCUGUGCCAGCAGCCGCGGUAAUACAGAGGGUGCAAGCGUUAAUCGGAAUUACUGGGCGUAAAGCGCGCGUAGGUGGUUUGUUAAGUUGGAUGUGAAAUCCCCGUGCUCAACCUGGGAACUGCAUUCAAAACUGACUGACUAGAGUAUGGUAGAGGGUGGUGGAAUUUCCUGUGUAGCGGUGAAAUGCGUAGAUAUAGGAAGGAACACCAGUGGCGAAGGCGACCACCUGGACUAAUACUGACACUAAGGUGCGAAAGCGUGGGGAGCAAACA
This 427-nucleotide ribosomal RNA is filed under the name uncultured bacterium. Its description in RNAcentral is "partial 16S ribosomal RNA". It matches the Rfam family "Bacterial small subunit ribosomal RNA", at positions 355 to 774 of the family's 1533-position model. The record is from RNAcentral.